GCUCGAGUGGCGAACGGGUGAGUAACACGUGAGUAACCUGCCCUUGACUUUGGGAUAACUUCAGGAAACUGGGGCUAAUACCGGAUAGGAGCUCCUGCUGCAUGGUGGGGGUUGGAAAGUUUCGGCGGUUGGGGAUGGACUCGCGGCUUAUCAGCUUGUUGGCGGGGUAGUGGCUUACCAAGGCUUUGACGGGUAGCCGGCCUGAGAGGGUGACCGGCCACAUUGGGACUGAGAUACGGCCCAG
RNAcentral lists this ribosomal RNA (244 nucleotides) under uncultured Actinomycetales bacterium. RNAcentral's name for it is "partial 16S ribosomal RNA". It matches the Rfam family "Bacterial small subunit ribosomal RNA", at positions 89 to 334 of the family's 1533-position model. Lineage: Bacteria; Bacillati; Actinomycetota; Actinomycetes; Actinomycetales. The record is from RNAcentral.